CCUACGGGUGGCAGCAGUGAGGAAUAUUGGUCAAUGGGCGGGAGCCUGAACCAGCCAAGCCGCGUGAGGGAAGAAGGUACAGCGUAUCGUAAACCUCUUUUGUCAGGGAACAAAGGCGGGGACUAGUCCCCGGAUGAGGGUACCUGAAGAAAAAGCAUCGGCUAACUCCGUGCCAGCAGCCGCGGUAAUACGGAGGAUGCGAGCGUUAUCCGGAUUUAUUGGGCGUAAAGGGUGCGUAGAUGGCAUAGUAAGUCUUUUGUAAAAAUGCUGGGCUCAACCCAGUAGGGCAAAAGAUACUGCAAAGCUAGAGUAUGACAGAGGCAAGUGGAACUACAUGUGUAGCGGUAAAAUGCGUAAAUAUAUGUAAGAACACCAGUGGCGAAGGCGGCUUGCUGGGUCGAUACUGACAUUGAGGCACGAAAGCGUGGGGAGCAAACAGGAUUAGAUACCCUAGUAGUC
RNAcentral lists this ribosomal RNA (459 nucleotides) under uncultured bacterium. RNAcentral describes it as "partial 16S ribosomal RNA". It matches the Rfam family "Bacterial small subunit ribosomal RNA", at positions 338 to 795 of the family's 1533-position model. The record is from RNAcentral.